AGCGGACUGCUCGAGCUG
Molecule: small nuclear RNA, 18 nt
Filed under: Arabidopsis thaliana (thale cress)
Lineage: Eukaryota; Viridiplantae; Streptophyta; Magnoliopsida; Brassicales; Brassicaceae
Description: snRNA_04261
Source: RNAcentral